UACGAGGGCUCCGAGCGUUAUCCGGAAUUAUUGGGCGUAAAGCGUCUGUAGGGGGUCUGGCAAGUCUGAUGUUAAAUCGUGGGGCUUAACUUCACGGCUGCACCAGAAACUGCCAAACUAGAGGGAAUGAGAGGUUAAUGGAACUCAUAGAGUAGGGGUGAAAUCCGUUGAUACUAUGGGGAACACCAGAGGCGAAGGCGAUUAACUGGCAUAUCCCUGACCCUGAGAGACGAAAGCGUGGGUUUCGAACGGG
RNAcentral lists this ribosomal RNA (253 nucleotides) under uncultured organism. Its description in RNAcentral is "partial 16S ribosomal RNA". It matches the Rfam family "Bacterial small subunit ribosomal RNA", at positions 524 to 776 of the family's 1533-position model. The record is from RNAcentral.